UCGAUAACGAACGAGACCUUAACCUGCUAACUAGUCCAGUCAACUCUGGUUGGCCGGGACUUCUUAGAGGGACUAUUGAUGUUUAAUCAAUGGAAGUUUGAGGCAAUAACAGGUCUGUGAUGCCCUUAGAUGUUCUGGGCUGCACACGCGCUACACUGAUGGAGGCAACAAGUAUCAUCCUUGGUUGGAAAACCUGGGUAAUCUUUUGAAACUUUACCGUGCUGGGGAUAGUCCAUUGUAAUUAUUGGACUUGAACGAGGAAUUCCUAGUAAGUGCGAGUCAUUAGCUCGCGUUGAUUACGUCCCUGCCCUUUGUACACACCGCCCGUCGCUACUACCGAUUGAAUGGCU
RNAcentral lists this ribosomal RNA (350 nucleotides) under uncultured eukaryote. Its description in RNAcentral is "bacterial SSU rRNA". It matches the Rfam family "Eukaryotic small subunit ribosomal RNA", at positions 1325 to 1698 of the family's 1831-position model. The record is from RNAcentral.